This 270-nucleotide ribosomal RNA is filed under the name uncultured archaeon. RNAcentral's name for it is "partial 16S ribosomal RNA". It matches the Rfam family "Archaeal small subunit ribosomal RNA", at positions 477 to 747 of the family's 1478-position model. The record is from RNAcentral.
CAGCAGCUCGAGUGGUGAUCAUUAUUAUUGGGCCUAAAACGUCCGUAGCCGGUUUAGUAAAUGCCUGGGUAAAUCGUGUAGCUUAACUAUACGACUUCCGGGUAGACUGCUAAACUUGAGACCGGGAGAGGCUAGAGGUACUCCUGGGGUAGAGGUGAAAUUCUGUAAUCCUAAGGGGACCACCAGUGGCGAAGGCGUCUAGCUAGAACGGGUCUGACGGUGAGGGACGAAGCCCUGGGGCACAAACCGGAUUAGAUACCCGAGUAGUCC